CAACGCCGGCGAGGUCGAGCUCGCAUGGGCUGGUGGAGGCGCGAGGGGCGGUCGUCCAUAGCCAUGGCUUCCAAUCUAGGAGGAAAGAAACAAGAAAGAUGCGAAUCUCGAAUGAGGGACGUGCGAUAUUAGAAGGAGGAAAAAGAUAAGACAGAAAUCACACGAUUAAGUGGGAUGACCUUGCUGAUGGAUCCGACGAAAACGUUUCGGCCGGCGCUAUGACCGGAAACGUUUCCCUUAGCAAAAUGGCUCUGUUACGGGCGCAGCACGCCCCACCCGCAAACCCUCGUCGACUG
Molecule: long non-coding RNA, 296 nt
Filed under: Hordeum vulgare
Lineage: Eukaryota; Viridiplantae; Streptophyta; Magnoliopsida; Poales; Poaceae
Description: long non-coding RNA (HVUL_LNC012632)
Source: RNAcentral